GAACCCGCCCUCUGGGAGGUCUCUUUUUCCCUGAGUUCAACCGGUGGCAUCGCCGCUGGAGUCCUUUAAACUCAGAAACCUCAGGGUGAUGUGAGAGAGGGAGGGUUCUGGGGUCUUAUAGUCAUGGGUUCGAACCUCAGCUCCAUUAGUUGCCUACUUAGUGACCUCAUACAAGUUAAACUUGCCUUCUUCGCGCGAUUCUCCCUUGUGAUAUUAUUGCUAAGUUCUAAUAAUGGGGGACUACGUUUGGAGUGCCUGGAAGACCUGGUUCACUAGGUUUUAUCGAGUGUCUUAUCACGUGCUAAGCGCUGGAAAUAGUAAUUGUGAACAGGACCCAUAGUUCUUGCCCUCGACCUAACAUUUCUAACGCAAACAGGGAACAAAAAGAAGUAAAUUACAAGUAAGUAACGAAGUGUGGUAAGUGCUCUGAGGGAAACAGAACUGGAAUACAGAAAAAUGGAGGAACCUACAUUAGGUAAAAUGGCCAGGGGAGAAAUCUUUGAAGUUAUAACCUGAGUCUAGAGAAUAAGAAGGAAUGUCAAAAUCAACAGUCUUGAAGAAAGAAGAGAGCGUGGCUGGAAGGCAAUAGGAACCUGAAAUCAAGGAAUUAACAUCGAGUGAUUCAAAAUCAAUAAAAACUGCAGCAAAUGCUGAGUUUUCAGUCAAGAAUUCCUUUUGUGCCAAAAAUGAAGAGAGUAAUCAGAGCAACAAAGGGAACUGACCAAGGAGAGUCCCAUGCUUGUGCUUCAUCCAGUCCCUUGGACUGCGAAGUCAAACCAGUCAAUUCU
Capra hircus (goat) is the source of this 788-nucleotide long non-coding RNA. RefSeq lists it as uncharacterized. The record is from RefSeq and is a predicted model, not a curated record. The transcript is spliced from 3 exons. NCBI's taxonomy places the organism in Eukaryota, Metazoa, Chordata, Mammalia, Artiodactyla, Bovidae.